UACGGAGGGGGCUAGCGUUGUUCGGAAUUACUGGGCGUAAAGCGCACGUAGGCGGUCGCGCAUGUCAGAUGUGAAAGCCCCGGGCUUAACCUGGGAAUUGCAUUUGAAACUGCGCAGCUAGAGGCCGGAAGAGGGUAGUGGAAUUCCCAGUGUAGAGGUGAAAUUCGUAGAUAUUGGGAAGAACACCAGUGGCGAAGGCGGCUACCUGGUCCGGUUCUGACGCUGAGGUGCGAAAGCGUGGGGAGCAAACAGG
Molecule: ribosomal RNA, 253 nt
Filed under: uncultured bacterium
Lineage: Bacteria
Description: partial 16S ribosomal RNA
Rfam family: Bacterial small subunit ribosomal RNA
Source: RNAcentral